This 527-nucleotide ribosomal RNA is filed under the name uncultured bacterium. RNAcentral's name for it is "bacterial SSU rRNA". It matches the Rfam family "Bacterial small subunit ribosomal RNA", at positions 335 to 865 of the family's 1533-position model. The record is from RNAcentral.
CACCUACGGGUGGCAGCAGUAGGGAAUAUUGGGCAAUGGAGGCAACUCUGACCCAGCCAUGCCGCGUGCAGGAAGAAGGCGUUAUGCGUUGUAAACUGCUUUUAUAUAGGAAGAAGAAGCCCAUGCGUGGGAAAGUGACGGUACUAUAUGAAUAAGCACCGGCUAACUCCGUGCCAGCAGCCGCGGUAAUACGGAGGGUGCAAGCGUUGUCCGGAUUUAUUGGGUUUAAAGGGUGCGUAGGUGGUUUAUUAAGUCAGUGGUGAAAGACGGUCGCUUAACGAUUGCAGUGCCAUUGAUACUGGUAGACUUGAGUUUUGUUAAGGUAGGCGGAAUUGAUAGUGUAGCGGUGAAAUGCAUAGAUAUUAUCAAGAACUCCAAUUGCGUAGGCAGCUUACUGGGCAAAAACUGACACUGAGGCACGAAAGUGUGGGUAUCAAACAGGAUUAGAUACCCUGGUAGUCCACACUGUAAACGAUGAUAACUAGGUGUUGGCAUUUAAUGUCAGUGCCACAGCGAAAGCGUUAAGU